RNAcentral lists this long non-coding RNA (840 nucleotides) under Homo sapiens (human). Its description in RNAcentral is "HSALNT0125707". Lineage: Eukaryota; Metazoa; Chordata; Mammalia; Primates; Hominidae. The record is from RNAcentral.
GGGAAGCUAUUGAUUUGAGGAAUUUGAAGGUUUCUGGAGGAAGGACUUGGAAAAUUUGAAGUGAACCUCUUUUGGGAAUUAAAAGUCUGGAGAAUUUUGUUGACCCAGCAUCAAGUUCACUGAUCUUUUUUGUUGUGUACAAUCUGCUAUUCAGCACAUCCACUUCCAAAGUCAUGUUGCUGAUAUUGAAAUGUCAAUUCCUUGACCUUUGGAUGCACAUGGGAGUCUCAGAGAACAUUCCAAGCAUUUGAAAGCAAUGCCUCUGAGAACCUUGGAAUGGAGAAAGGGAACAAUGUCAUCUGCACUCAGUCAUGGAGGAAACAGCUGGACAAGUCAGCACAGGGCGGAGGUGACCGGUGGAGGCGACUAGGACUUCUUCAGGCAGCAUCUGAAGUCUCUCUGAAAACACAAGAAAAGAAUAUACAGAGAACCUCCCAGAAACUGCAAGUCCCAUGGAAAUUAAGGCCAUUAGUGUUUUGUAUAAUAAACAGUCACCUUUGCAUUUAAAAUGGACUAUUUUGUUUUGGAUAUAGGUGGAGUAGGAUAUAAAUGUAUACUUCCUUGCUUCUUAGUUUAUCAUAGGAAUCUAAGAAAAGAACUAAGGAUAAGAGAAAAGGAGGAAAAAAAGACAGCUCUGCUGCUUUUAUCUCAGGUUAUUUCAGAAAAAACAAAAUGAUAACCCUGCAAAAUUCUCAGCACUCUUCACUUUGGUUCCACCGCUUUCAGUGGGUGACUUGUCUGGAAAGGAAUCUCUUUUAGCCUUCCUGGCUAAUGAGCCAUGGCAGAUAAUGCCACAAGGUGUCACUAUUGCUAAAAUCGCUCUCCACCUACAGGAUCGAU